Molecule: ribosomal RNA, 785 nt
Filed under: marine metagenome
Description: bacterial SSU rRNA
Rfam family: Bacterial small subunit ribosomal RNA
Source: RNAcentral
CUUUCUGGAUCAUUACUGACACUGAGGAACGAAAGCAUGGGUAGCGAAGAGGAUUAGAUACCCUCGUAGUCCAUGCCGUAAACGAUGUGUGUUAGACGUUGGAAAUUUUAUUUUCAGUGUCGCAGCGAAAGCGAUAAACACACCGCCUGGGGAGUACGACCGCAAGGUUAAAACUCAAAUGAAUUGACGGGGACCCGCACAAGUAGUGGAGCAUGUGGUUUAAUUCGAAGAUACGCGCAGAACCUUACCAACACUUGACAUGUUCGUCGCGACUUUAAGAGAUUAAAGUUUUCGGUUCGGCCGGACGAAACACAGGUGCUGCAUGGCUGUCGUCAGCUCGUGUCGUGAGAUGUUGGGUUAAGUCCCGCAACGAGCGCAACCCUCACUUUUAGUUGCCAUCAUUAAGUUGGGCACUCUGAAAGAACUGCCAGUGAUAAGCUGGAGGAAGGUGGGGAUGACGUCAAGUCCUCAUGGCCCUUACGUGUUGGGCUACACACGUGCUACAAUGGUAUUUACAACAGGAAGCAAGACGGCGACGUUAAGCAAAUCCUUAAAAAAUACCUCAGUUCGGAUUGCACUCUGCAACUCGAGUGCAUGAAGCUGGAAUUACUAGUAAUCGUGGAUCAGCGUGCCACGGUGAAUGCGUUCCCGGGUCUUGUACACACCGCCCGUCACACCAUGGGAGUUGGUUCUACCUUAAGGCAAGGUUUUAAACCCUUGACCACGGUAUAGUCAGCGACUGGGGUGAAGUCGUAACAAGGUAGCCGUAGGGGAACCUGCGGCUG